Molecule: ribosomal RNA, 254 nt
Filed under: uncultured bacterium
Lineage: Bacteria
Description: partial 16S ribosomal RNA
Rfam family: Bacterial small subunit ribosomal RNA
Source: RNAcentral
UACGAAGGGGGCUAGCGUUGCUCGGAUUGACUGGGCGUAAAGGGCGCGUAGGCGGUUUGCAUAGUCAGACGUGAAAUUCCUGGGCUUAACCUGGGGGCCGCGUUUGAUACAUGCAGGCUUGAGUUCGGAAGAGGGUCGUGGAAUUCCCAGUGUAGAGGUGAAAUUCGUAGAUAUUGGGAAGAACACCGGUGGCGAAGGCGGCGACCUGGUCCGAUACUGACGCUGAGGCGCGAAAGCGUGGGGGAGCAAACAGG